GUGCCAGCAGCCGCGGUAAUACGUAGGGGGCAAGCGUUGUCCGGAAUCAUUGGGCGUAAAGAGCGUGUAGGCGGCCCGGUAAGUCCGCUGUGAAAGUCAGGGGCUCAACCCUUGAAUGCCGGCGGAUACUGUCGGGCUAGAGUCCGGAAGAGGCGAGUGGAAUUCCUGGUGUAGCGGUGAAAUGCGCAGAUAUCAGGAGGAACACCUACGGCGAAGGCAGCUCGCUGGGACGGUACUGACGCUGAGACGCGAAAGCGUGGGGAGCAAACAGGAUUAGAAACCCUCGUAGUCC
RNAcentral lists this ribosomal RNA (292 nucleotides) under uncultured bacterium. RNAcentral's name for it is "partial 16S ribosomal RNA". It matches the Rfam family "Bacterial small subunit ribosomal RNA", at positions 505 to 796 of the family's 1533-position model. The record is from RNAcentral.